Molecule: non-coding RNA, 557 nt
Organism: Myodes glareolus (Bank vole)
Lineage: Eukaryota; Metazoa; Chordata; Mammalia; Rodentia; Cricetidae
Source: RefSeq, a predicted model, not a curated record
GAGACGCUGGUGCUACCCAGGGAGGGGUUCCUCCACGUUUCUUCCUGUUCUGUAGUUUUGCUGUUACAUUCGGCCACGGAGUUGCUAAAGCUGCAAAUGUGUUGGUGGCGAAAGAAAAGCCGAGCUAUCCUCAGAUGGUCCUGGGUGGCUGCAGACAGCGAACGCGCCAUAGAAGAUGGGAUAAACCCUAUCAAGUAUGCUGUUCAGGUGGUAUUUCAAGCCUCUCUACAUGUUCAAACCAACUGAACCUCGCUGCAGAUCUACAAGGGGCUGUGCGAUCCCUGUGGUGCUUUGAAUGAGAAAUGUUCCCCACAGCCUUGGGCAUCUGAAUACCCGGACCCGGUCCCGGUCCCGGUCCCGGUGAACGGCACCGUUUGGGUGUCUAGGCAGUGAGGACUUGCUGGAGGAAUUACUUUACCAGGGGCAGGAUUUGAGGUUAAGAAGAUUUCCUAACUUCUAGCUUGUUUUGUGGUUGCCAUUGAGGAUGCCAACUCUCAACCGUUCCAGCUGCUAUGUCUGCCUGUUUCUUUGCCACUUCGUGGAAAUGGCGCUGGGCC